AUUGAACGCUGGCGGCAGGCCUAACACAUGCAAGUCGAGCGGAUGAGAGGAGCUUGCUCCUCGAUUCAGCGGCGGACGGGUGAGUAAUGCCUAGGAAUCUGCCCAGUAGUGGGGGACAACGUUUCGAAAGGAACGCUAAUACCGCAUACGUCCUACGGGAGAAAGUGGGGGAUCUUCGGACCUCACGCUAUUGGAUGAGCCUAGGUCGGAUUAGCUAGUUGGUAGGGUAAAGGCCUACCAAGGCGACGCUCCGUAACUGGUCUGAGAGGAUGAUCAGUCACACUGGAACUGAGACACGGUCCAGACUCCUACGGGAGGCAGCAGUGGGGAACAUUGGACAAUGGGCGCAAGCCUGAUCCAGCCAUGCCGCGUGUGUGAAGAAGGCCCUCGGGUCGUAAAGCACUUUAAGUUGGGAGGAAGGGCUUACAGCGAAUACCUGUGAGUUUUGACGUUACCGACAGAAUAAGCACCGGCUAACUUCGUGCCAGCCGCCGCAGUAA
This 500-nucleotide ribosomal RNA is filed under the name uncultured bacterium. RNAcentral's name for it is "partial 16S ribosomal RNA". It matches the Rfam family "Bacterial small subunit ribosomal RNA", at positions 30 to 523 of the family's 1533-position model. The record is from RNAcentral.